RNAcentral lists this ribosomal RNA (429 nucleotides) under Bacillota bacterium. RNAcentral's name for it is "Firmicutes bacterium partial 16S ribosomal RNA". It matches the Rfam family "Bacterial small subunit ribosomal RNA", at positions 355 to 776 of the family's 1533-position model. Lineage: Bacteria; Bacillati; Bacillota. The record is from RNAcentral.
UGGGGAAUUUUGGACCAUGGGCGAAAGCCUGAUCCAACAAUGCCGCGUGUGUGAAGAAGGCCUUCGGGUUGUAAAGCACUUUUGUCCGGAAAGAAAUGGCUCUGGUUAAUACCUGGGGUCGAUGACGGUACCGGAAGAAUAAGGACCGGCUAACUACGUGCCAGCAGCCGCGGUAAUACGUAGGGUCCAAGCGUUAAUCGGAAUUACUGGGGGUAAAGCGUGCGCAGGCGGUUGUGCAAGACCGAUGUGAAAUCCCCGAGCUUAACUUGGGAAUUGCAUUGGUGACUGGACGGCUAGAGUGUGUCAGAGGGGGGUAGAAUUCCACGUGUAGCAGUGAAAUGCGUAGAGAUGUGGAGGAAUACCGAUGGCGAAGGCAGCCCCCUGGGAUAACACUGACGCUCAUGCACGAAAGCGUGGGGAGCAAACAGG